CUUGAACGCUGGCGGCAGGCCUAACACAUGCAAGUCGAGCGGAUGAAGGGAUCUUGUUCCUGGAUUCAGCGGCGGACGUGUGUGUAAUGCCUAGGAAUCUGCCUGGUAGCGGAGGAUAACGUCCGGGAACGGGCGCUAAUACCGCAUACGUCCUGAGGGAGAAGGUGGGGGAUCUUCGGACCUCACGCUAUCAGAUGAGCCUGGGUCGGGUUAGCUAGUUGGUGGGGUAAAGACCUACCAACGCGACGAUCCGUAACUGGUCUGUGAGGAUGAUCAGUCACACUAGAACUGAGACACGGUCCAGACUCCUACGGGAGGCAGCAGUGGGGAAUAUUGGACUAUGGGCGAAAGCCGGAUGCAGCCAUGCCGCGUGUGUGAAGAAGGUCUUCGGAUUGUAAAGCACUUUGAGUUGGGAGGAAGGGCAGUAAGUUAAUACCUUGCUGUUUUGACGUUACCAACAGAAUAAGCACCGGCUAACUUCGUG
This 484-nucleotide ribosomal RNA is filed under the name uncultured bacterium. RNAcentral's name for it is "partial 16S ribosomal RNA". It matches the Rfam family "Bacterial small subunit ribosomal RNA", at positions 30 to 507 of the family's 1533-position model. The record is from RNAcentral.